UAAAGCUUCCGUCGAGGUAUAGGGGAGGAGACAAAUUCAAGCCCACCGUUUUCGUCGCGAAUUUGCUUGAGACAUACUCACAGAUUAUUCGCUAUGAAGUCCUACGCAAUCUUGGCACUGCUCAUCCUGGGCCAUUUGUGUCAAAUUCAAGCAGCCACGCUGAGCAUGACAGCAACGAGCACGGACGACGCGAGGAAGCUACUCACCGAGAAACUGUCCCAUUCAAUCAUGGAGAACCGCGAAGAGCUCCUCGAGGCUCUCAAGGCAAUCGACGGCACAGGCGACGAAACCGAUGAGCAGGUCCUUCCAGCCCUAGCUGUGCCAAUAAUUACGGCCAUUGUUAGCGGGGCUGUAUCCAGAGCUGUUGGAGCCGGUGUGGGGAUAGCAGUUCAGAAUGGCUGAAUGUAUACGACAUCAUUUUUUAGUACAUUAAAUUAUUACACAUUUA
Long non-coding RNA from Rhipicephalus sanguineus (brown dog tick), 448 nucleotides. RefSeq lists it as uncharacterized. Lineage: Eukaryota; Metazoa; Arthropoda; Arachnida; Ixodida; Ixodidae. The transcript is spliced from 3 exons. The record is from RefSeq and is a predicted model, not a curated record.